RNAcentral lists this ribosomal RNA (144 nucleotides) under uncultured eukaryote. Its description in RNAcentral is "partial 18S ribosomal RNA". It matches the Rfam family "Eukaryotic small subunit ribosomal RNA", at positions 1299 to 1458 of the family's 1831-position model. The record is from RNAcentral.
UGGUGGAGUGAUUUGUCUGGUUAAUUCCGUUAACGAACGAGACCGCGACCUGCUAAAUAGAGCGUCGAAUGUUCUCUCAUUCGCUCGCUACUUCUUAGAGGGACUACGGAGUCUCCAACUCCGGGGGAGUUCGCGGCAAUAACA